This 113-nucleotide ribosomal RNA is filed under the name Neogale vison (American mink). Lineage: Eukaryota; Metazoa; Chordata; Mammalia; Carnivora; Mustelidae. The record is from RNAcentral.
GUGUACGGCCAUACCACCCUGAUCAUGCCCGAUUUCGUCUGAACUCAUAAGCUAAGCAGGGUCGGACCUGGUUAGUACUUGGAUGGGAAAUAAUGUUUGGGAGACCGCCCCCC